UGGGGAAUAUUGCACAAUGGGCGCAAGCCUGAUGCAGCCAUGCCGCGUGUAUGAAGAAGGCCUUCGGGUUGUAAAGUACUUUCAGCGGGGAGGAAGGCGAUAAGGUUAAUAACCUUGUCGAUUGACGUUACCCGCAGAAGAAGCACCGGCUAACUCCGUGCCAGCAGCCGCGGUAAUACGGAGGGUGCAAGCGUUAAUCGGAAUUACUGGGCGUAAAGCGCACGCAGGCGGUCUGUCAAGUCGGAUGUGAAAUCCCCGGGCUCAACCUGGGAACUGCAUUCGAAACUGGCAGGCUAGAGUCUUGUAGAGGGGGGUAGAAUUCCAGGUGUAGCGGUGAAAUGCGUAGAGAUCUGGAGGAAUACCGGUGGCGAAGGCGGCCCCCUGGACAAAGACUGACGCUCA
This 402-nucleotide ribosomal RNA is filed under the name uncultured bacterium. Its description in RNAcentral is "partial 16S ribosomal RNA". It matches the Rfam family "Bacterial small subunit ribosomal RNA", at positions 355 to 749 of the family's 1533-position model. The record is from RNAcentral.